RNAcentral lists this ribosomal RNA (251 nucleotides) under Shigella boydii. RNAcentral describes it as "partial 23S ribosomal RNA". It matches the Rfam family "Bacterial large subunit ribosomal RNA", at positions 917 to 1165 of the family's 2925-position model. Lineage: Bacteria; Pseudomonadati; Pseudomonadota; Gammaproteobacteria; Enterobacterales; Enterobacteriaceae. The record is from RNAcentral.
GGCAAGGGGGUCAUCCCGACUUACCAACCCGAUGCAAACUGCGAAUACCGGAGAAUGUUAUCACGGGAGACACACGGCGGGUGCUAACGUCCGUCGUGAAGAGGGAAACAACCCAGACCGCCAGCUAAGGUCCCAAAGUCAUGGUUAAGUGGGAAACGAUGUGGGAAGGCCCAGACAGCCAGGAUGUUGGCUUAGAAGCAGCCAUCAUUUAAAGAAAGCGUAAUAGCUCACUGGUCGAGUCGGCCUGCGCG